This 663-nucleotide long non-coding RNA is filed under the name Vulpes vulpes (red fox). RNAcentral's name for it is "lncRNA (ENSVVUG00000022894.1)". The record is from RNAcentral. Lineage: Eukaryota; Metazoa; Chordata; Mammalia; Carnivora; Canidae.
AGGAACGCCCUCCAUCAAAGAGACGCGGGUCGGUUGCCAGGCUACCGUGAGAAAAGAGAACUCCCAGGGACAAUGCGACCUUCCCCCAGGGUCCAGGGGCUGGGCUUGCUCGGUACCGAAGUGCGUGGCGGACUGCAGGGCUCCAGCUCCCGGACGGGAAGGCACAGCCUCGCCGGGGCAAGCCAGAGCUGCCACCGAGGAACAAGCCCAAUGGGACUGGCAGCGAGGAAGGGAAAGGUCACCCAGAGUCAGCAGAACAAUAUGGAUCCUAUUACUGCUUCUGGGAAAAACAAUUGGUUCCAGGAGGUCAUGGCAAGCAGAGAUGCCCAAAGUGGCAUUUACUCCCUGCUUAUUUGGCCCACUAGGUAAGAAGUAGGGCUCUUCUUUGGCUGGCUCCUAAAAAACCUAACUAUGCCAGGCAAAGAAUGGUGGUCCUCUGCCAGCUAAUUCCUGGCUACUACUUGCUGUCUUUGGCUUCAGAUACUUCCUAUUUCUCCCCAGGCCACUGUACCUCUGAACUAGCAAAGUAUGAUUACAGUAAAUCUCAUCUUUUCAUAUUUAUGUGUUUUUAUGCUAGAAAGGUUUGAACAGAGACUUAUAUAGUCUCUGACAGUUCCCUAUCAGCUUCUAAUUGUAGAUAAUAAAAGAAUUUCCUGUGCCUCA